This 195-nucleotide ribosomal RNA is filed under the name uncultured Verrucomicrobiales bacterium. RNAcentral's name for it is "partial 16S ribosomal RNA". It matches the Rfam family "Bacterial small subunit ribosomal RNA", at positions 338 to 524 of the family's 1533-position model. The record is from RNAcentral. Lineage: Bacteria; Pseudomonadati; Verrucomicrobiota; Verrucomicrobiia; Verrucomicrobiales.
CCUACGGGAGGCAGCAGUCGAGAAUUUUUCACAAUGGACGAAAGUCUGAUGGAGCGACGCCGCGUGGAGGAUGAAGGUUUUCGGAUUGUAAACUCCUGUCACUGCAGAACAAGGCUGCGCGUAUGAAUAGUACGCGCAGUUGAUGGUAUGCGGCGAGGAAGGGACGGCUAACUCUGUGCCAGCAGCCGCAGUAAU